Molecule: long non-coding RNA, 398 nt
Filed under: Capra hircus (goat)
Lineage: Eukaryota; Metazoa; Chordata; Mammalia; Artiodactyla; Bovidae
Description: lncRNA (ENSCHIG00000007958.1)
Source: RNAcentral
UGCACCCUUUAAAAGCGUGCUCUCAGGAUGCUAUCGUCCUGUGGGUCUCAGGAUGUGAGCCCUGUUUACUUUCAAAGUUAGAGCUUUUGGGGGCUCCUCUCUCAGGUGCAGGUACUGAAAGAUUUCUGCUGAACCUCUGAAAUGCCAAGAGUCUGCCUGCUGUUCCUCAGUUAGGAGAAAUACUGCCUGGUCCAGCAGGUCGGAGGACCUUACCUUUGCAUGGGGCCCAACGUGAAUGUGAAAUGAACUGUGAAUCUUUGUUUUUCCUGGGCCAAACUAAAGUGAACUUCAUUCCUGUCUGAUCUUUCCCCAUCUUCAAAAGUGGAAGCUCCUUUGUUCAAGCUGUGUGCCUUUGAGAGAGGAAGAAAAAGACUUCAAGGGGAAAGUUUACUUUAAAG